UUAAAACAUCAAUCAGAAUAUUAUAACUAUAAUCCCAAAAAAAAAAAAACUUUUUGCUUUCUAUGCGUAUAUCCAUCUUAUCAAUAAUAUAUCGGAAAGAACCUUUUGUGACUCUAUAUAUUAUGAAGUAAAGGCACACUAUGAUACUCGUCUUGAUUAUCUCUCAUCUAGAAACCGCAAACAUGUUGUUUAGUUUGCCAAGGAACAUUAUGAGAGAAUAAUAAUGGUUUUCUUCUUACUCACCCUUUGUCCAAAUGACCAAGAAGUUAUAUUAAUCUGGUCAUUCUAGGCUUUGGCAGAAAGAGUAAAUUAAUAAAUGAGAAAUCUUUGAUCCUCCCCUACUCAAUUAGAUAGGGCCCCAAAGCUCCUCAUCAACAUCUAAGUCUUCAUGUGGAAUUUUAUGAGAAGGAAUGAUCUCAUUAAGCACCGCACCAUUCCACAACACUUGUCUUUGAGAGACGAGAUACAAUGCCAUACAAAAAAUAGCCGAGAAUCCAAUAUCCUCCACAAUAUUUUUGACAAAACUCGCUCAAUUCAUCCGCAUAAACUUUCUCAAGGUCAAUUUUGAUGACAA
Molecule: long non-coding RNA, 574 nt
Filed under: Cicer arietinum (chickpea)
Lineage: Eukaryota; Viridiplantae; Streptophyta; Magnoliopsida; Fabales; Fabaceae
Description: long non-coding RNA (CARI_LNC000476)
Source: RNAcentral